CUCCCCAAAAUGUCGUGAUCUUGUUCUCAGCAAGGGAGCUUUGCUUCCUUUGUUGGCCCAGCUGAAUGAGCAUGCAAAGCUCUCAAUGCUGAGGAAUGCCACGUGGACACUAUCAAACUUCUGCAGGGGCAAGCCUCAGCCUCCAUUUGAACAGGUGAGGCCCGCACUUCCAGCACUUGAACGUCUUGUACAUUCAACUGAUGAAGAAGUUUUAACUGAUGCCUGUUGGGCACUUUCUUAUCUUUCUGAUGGUACAAAUGACAAAAUCCAAGCUGUGAUUGAGACGCAGGUGUCUGUCCCCGACUUAUUGAGCUCCUCCUCCAUCCAUCUCCUUCAGUGCUUGUUCCUGCCCUUCGCACUGUUGGAAAUAUUGUGACUGGGGAUGAUAUCCAGACUCAGUGUAUAAUAAACAAUGGUGCACUGCCAUAUCUUGUAAGCCUAUUGACUCAUAAUCAUAAAAAG
This 462-nucleotide unclassified non-coding RNA is filed under the name Hevea brasiliensis (rubber tree). Lineage: Eukaryota; Viridiplantae; Streptophyta; Magnoliopsida; Malpighiales; Euphorbiaceae. The record is from RNAcentral.